RNAcentral lists this ribosomal RNA (382 nucleotides) under uncultured bacterium. RNAcentral's name for it is "bacterial SSU rRNA". It matches the Rfam family "Bacterial small subunit ribosomal RNA", at positions 28 to 420 of the family's 1533-position model. The record is from RNAcentral.
GACGAACGCUGGCGGCGUGCCUAACACAUGCAAGUCGAACGGGGGUAGCAAUACCUCAGUGGCGAACGGGUGCGUAACACGUGAAGAAUUUGUCUAACGGCGGGGGAUAGCCGGCCCAACGGCCGGGUAAUACCGCGUACGACCUCUGGAGGGCAUCCUCUGGUGGUGAAAGCCGCAAGGCGCCGAUAGAGAACUUCGCGGCCUAUCAGCUAGUUGGCGGGGUAAUGGCCCACCAAGGCGACGACGGGAGCUGGUCCGAGAGGAUGACCAGCCACAUUGGACUGAGACACGGCCCAGACUCCUACGGGAGGCAGCAGUGGGAAUAUUGCGCAAUGGGCGAAAGCCUGACGCAGCGACGCCGCGUGUGGGAUGACGGCCUCGG